RNAcentral lists this ribosomal RNA (466 nucleotides) under uncultured bacterium. Its description in RNAcentral is "bacterial SSU rRNA". It matches the Rfam family "Bacterial small subunit ribosomal RNA", at positions 28 to 507 of the family's 1533-position model. The record is from RNAcentral.
GACGAACGCUGGGCGGCGUGCUUAACACAUGCAAGUCGAGCGGUAAGGCUCCUUCGGGAGUACACGAGCGGCGAACGGGUGAGUAACACGUGAGUAACCUGCCCCAAUCAUCGGGAUAACCAUUGGAAACGAUGGCUAAUACCGAAUACGACCACCGAAGGCAUCUUCUGGUGGUGGAAAGCUCCGGCGGAUUGGGAUGGACUCGCGGCCUAUCAGCUUGUUGGUGAGGUAAUGGCUCACCAAGGCAACGACGGGUAGCCGGCCUGAGAGGGUGACCGGCCACACUGGGACUGAGACACGGCCCAGACUCCUACGGGAGGCAGCAGUGGGGAAUAUUGGACAAUGGGCGCAAGCCUGAUCCAGCAACGCCGCGUGAGGGAUGACGGCCUUCGGGUUGUAAACCUCUUUCAGUAGGGACGAAGCGAAAGUGACGGUACCUACAGAAGAAGGACCGGCCAACUACGUG